Molecule: long non-coding RNA, 1656 nt
Organism: Gallus gallus (chicken)
Lineage: Eukaryota; Metazoa; Chordata; Aves; Galliformes; Phasianidae
Source: Ensembl
GUCGCUUUCCCUUUUCAAAGCUGCUUUUUAGCAAGGAAAAAGGCUGAAACCUUUCUUUAAUGAAAUGCGAAGCCCGAGAUUCUCCUUGGCAUGUGUGCCUCUCUCCACCCAACUGGAGAAGCUCAUUAUCAUGGGCUUUUCAGGUCCACAAAGACAGACCCCGCUAACACUCCACAGCACCUUUCACACGCUCAUUCAUGCCUUGUUUAUUAAUUUAUUUUUUCAGUUUAGCUUCAGUAAAUGAUCUGGGGGGGAGCAUUUCUGCUGUGGUCUUCAGGAGAAAGUGAAGGAGGAAGAAAAAUUGCUUCAGAUCAAGGGAAGCGGUAAAACUUUUAUGUGGCUCUAAGCACACAAGCAUGCUCAUGGGAGUAACUGGCUAUACCAUAUGCUGGGGACCUUGGUUCUCUUCCCAGAUCAGUUAUUCCACAGUGCAAAUAGCUACGUUCUCCCCAGUUCUACAAUAGGGUGAGCAGCAAUUGCCUGCUUUCACAGUGUUAUGCACCUUAAAAAAAGCCCCAUAAAAGCUAUGUCACAUUACUAUCUAUGGUGGUAAGCUCAAGAGUAAGCUCAAGGAUUUUUCUACAUCAGUGUUCUUCAGCAUGAAAUGGGCAGAAAAAGGAAAAAAAAUCAAAUGUGAACAAACCAUCUAAAAAUAUUUGAAAUAGAUAAAAAUAAUUUUGAAGCAGAUGUCCUGGCUACAAGCUUCAAUCCCAGCAUUUCUAGUAGGUUUGAUAACAUGAGACUCUACCAGGAGACACAAAAAUUGAGGAAAGAAUUGCUAUUGCCUUCAAACACCACUAGACAGGACCAGCAGAGCCUGUUCCUCCAAGAAAUCCAAUUGUUGAUAUGUAAUAGAUAAAUGCCUGAUACAAGAUGCAGAAAAUCAGAGGCCAUUUACAAACCAGGGUCAAGCUGGGGCAAAAAGAUCCAUGAUCUUACUGUUUGUAGAUAUUCACAUUCAGACUGAAGAGCUUAACAAUUAGUCCUGAAGCAUCUCAACACCUUAUUCUUGAUAGGUGUCAAGCACUUCAGCACUACAUUAAGUACAGGGAGGAAGUGGGAUGGCUGAGAAUAACACGUGAAACAGCUGAGCAGAAAGAAACCUAUAAGAGCAAAAAGGGCAGGAAGAACAGCGAGCAAGGUGAGAGCACGACUUCCAUUUGGGAAGACUGGAUAGAGGAGUCCACAUUUGUUGUGUGAAAAAGGGGAGCUCAGGAAGACAGUACAGAGCCAUGGUCACUGUGCACUGCUGGCUGGUUUCCUCUUAUUCCCCUCAAUAAGAGAAAAAGCAAAUUCCUCUAAGCAGCAGGCCUCCUUUCUCAUUUACAAUAACCACUAAUACUUGUCAUAAUGGCCAGAUUAUGUCGAUCUGCUGGUCUCAGACUAAUUAAUCACUUGCUGAGGCAGUAUGAUUUCGAUAGAGAUGUUCACAUGCUUAAAAUUUGCUGUUAUUAGGUUGCAUCUGGCUGUGAUCCCACUUCCCCAUUUAUAGCCCUGGUACAAAUUCAGUGCAGCUUAAGACUGCUUGAUUUUAUGCCUGUGAACUUAAGAUCAACUGAAUUUAACAAUUUAUUAUAAAUGCAUAUAGUAUCAAGAGUAUUGUGUGCUCCAGUCAUGUUUCCAUUUCUUCUGUAUAAAAUCUCUAAUCACAAGCAG